AAGUCGUAACAAGGUCUCCGUAGGGUGAGUUUUGAACGACUUCUAACUAAUAUUGAAUGAAUGCUAACAGAUUUCCAGUGAACCUGCGGAGGGAUCAUUACUGAGUGAGGGUCUCUGACCCGACCUCCAACCCUUUGUGAUUUAAACCUCUGUUGCCUCGGGGGCGACCCGGGCCCGCGUCUAGGGCCCCGACGGACCAUUUCAAAACACUGCAUCUUUGCGUCGGAUUGAAUAAAGUAAAUGAUUAAAACUUUCAACAACGGAUCUCUUGGUUCUGGCAUCGAUGAAGAACGCAGCGAAAUGCGAUAAGUAAUGUGAAUUGCAGAAUUCAGUGAAUCAUCGAGUUUUUGAACGCACACUGCGCCCGCCAGUACUCUGGCGGGCAUGCCUGUUCGAGCGUCAUUUCAACCCUCAGGCCCCGGGCCUGGCGUUGGGGAUCGACCACCGCCGCCGUCAGCGCGGCAGGUCGUCCCUAAACACAGUGGCGGUCACGCUGCGGCAUCCCCUGCGUAGUAGCACAACUCGCACCGGAUCGCGGCGCGGCCACGCCGUAAAACAACCCAAUUCUGAAGUGUUGACCUCGGAUCAGGUAGGGAUACCCGCUGAACUUAA
RNAcentral lists this ribosomal RNA (612 nucleotides) under uncultured fungus. Its description in RNAcentral is "eukaryotic LSU rRNA". The stretch from base 249 to 402 matches the Rfam family "5.8S ribosomal RNA". The record is from RNAcentral. Lineage: Eukaryota; Fungi.